RNAcentral lists this ribosomal RNA (535 nucleotides) under uncultured bacterium. Its description in RNAcentral is "bacterial SSU rRNA". It matches the Rfam family "Bacterial small subunit ribosomal RNA", at positions 359 to 917 of the family's 1533-position model. The record is from RNAcentral.
GACUNCCAAUGGGGGAACCCUGAUGCAGCGACCCCGCGUGAGCGAUGAAGCCCUUCGGGGUNCNAAGCUCUUUCGACGGGAACGAUAAUGACGGUACCCGGAGAAGAAGCUGCGGCUAANUACGUGCCAGCAGCCGCGGUAAUACGUAGGCAGCGAGCGUUGUUCGGAGUUACUGGGCGUAAAGAGUAUGUAGGCGGUUGCGCAAGUUUGGUGUGAAAUCUCCCGGCUUAACUGGGAGGGUGCGCCGAAAACUGCGUGGCUAGAGUGCGGGAGAGGAGAGCGGAAUUCCUGGUGUAGCGGUGAAAUGCGUAGAUAUCAGGAGGAACACCGGCGGUGUAGACGGCUCUCUGGACCGUGACUGACGCUGAGAUACGAAAGCGUGGGGAGCAAACAGGAUUAGAUACCCUGGUAGUCCACGCCCUAAACGAUGCGGACUUGGUGUGGGCAGUUCAUUCUGUCCGUGCCGGAGCUAACGCGUUAAGUCCGCCGCCUGGGGAGUACGGUCGCAAGGCUGAAACUCAAAAAAAUUGACGGA